Non-coding RNA from Chiloscyllium plagiosum (whitespotted bambooshark), 3994 nucleotides. NCBI's taxonomy places the organism in Eukaryota, Metazoa, Chordata, Chondrichthyes, Orectolobiformes, Hemiscylliidae. The record is from RefSeq and is a predicted model, not a curated record.
UCAGCGCGCUACCCGGAAGUGGCGUGGCUGGCAGGGCUCCUACCACCUCCGGUUCUGGAGUAGAGUGAGCGGCGUCUUCAUCAAAUUCCCCCCCGGACCAGGUCCUGGUCGUGACAUCGCGGCCGACCCCAGCAGCUGCUGCUGGCAUCGCGGCCGUUUCCCGGUCCCGGUCCCGGUCCCGGUCCCGGGUACGGCCUGGUGUAGUUGUGCCGGAGCGGUGUGGACUCUGUGCCGAGACGAUGGGCUCUAUGUUCCGCGGUGAAGAGAUGUGCCUGGCCCAGCUGUUCCUCCAAGCCGCCUCGGCCUAUGAUUGUGUCAGUGAGCUCGGGGAGGCCGGUUUAGUGGAAUUCAGAGACCUCAACCCAAAUGUCACAACCUUCCAGCGUAAAUUUGUCAGUGAGAUGAGGAGGUGUGAAGAGAUGGAGAAAACACUAGGCUAUUUGCUGCAAGAAAUUAAGAAAGCUGAUAUCUCUCUGAUGGACAGUGAUGUAAAUCCUGUUGCACCUCUACCGAAGCAUGUUUUAAAAAUACAAGAGCAGCUUCAACAGCUGGAAGCGGAGCUGAAAGAAGUGACAAAAAACAAAGAGACUCUAAAGAGAAAUUAUUUAGAGCUGACUGAAUACAGUCACAUGCUGAGAGUAACACAGAACUUUGUCAAAAGGGCUUCUGAGCUUGACCUUGCCUCCCAGACUCAAUUUGAGGAAUUUCCUUCGUUGGAUAAAGAGCCACUAAUGGACCAUACGAACAUGCAGCGGCUAGGAGCCAAGUUAGGGUUUAUAGCUGGCAUAAUACAUCCAUGGAAGAUUGGACCUUUUGAACGGAUGCUGUGGAGAGUCUGUAAGGGUUAUACAAUCCUCACAUACAAAGAAUUAGAUGUUGCUCUCGAGGAUCCAGAGUGUGGGGACGAUGUGAAAUGGGUUGUGUUUUUAGUGUCAUACUGGGGUGAACAGAUUGGUCAGAAGGUGAAGAAGAUUUGCGAUUGUUAUCACUGCCAUGUCUAUCCUUACCCAAGUACAAAUCAGGAGAGGAACGACAUUGUUGCAGGACUCAACACUCGAAUUCAGGAUCUCCAUACAGUACUAUAUAGAACUGAGGAAUAUCUUCAGCAAGUUCUAUGCAAGGCAUCAGAAUCUAUCCACACGUGGCUUGUUCAAGUGAAGAAGAUGAAGGCUAUUUACCAUAUCCUGAACCUCUGCAGUUUUGAUGUCACCAAUAAAUGUCUGAUUGCUGAGGUCUGGUGUCCGUUGGCUGAUCUGGCCAAAGUUCGCCAAGCGUUGGAAGAAGGAUCUAGGAAGAGUAGUGCCACAGUUCCAUCAUUUGUGAACCGAAUACCAACAACAGACACUCCCCCAUCUCUCCUCCGAACAAAUAAAUUCACUUCUGGGUUUCAAAAUAUUGUGGAUGCUUAUGGAGUUGGAAGCUACCGGGAAGUUAACCCAGGUCCUUACACCAUUGUCACUUUCCCUUUCCUCUUUGCUGUAAUGUUUGGAGACUUUGGACACGGUCUGAUCAUGUCUGUGUUUGCUUUAUGGAUGGUGCUUUCCGAAAACAACCCAAAAUUAAAACGAACAAGAAAUGAGAUCUGGAACACCUUCUUUGAUGGGCGCUAUAUCAUCCUGAUGAUGGGAAUAUUUUCCUUGUAUACUGGUCUUAUCUACAAUGACUGCUUUUCAAAGUCUUUGAAUAUAUUUGGGUCUGGAUGGAGUGUCAAAAGUAUGUAUAACAACAACAUCUGGAAGGAUGAUGAUCUUCGCUAUAAUCAGUAUCUAACCCUGGAUCCCAAUGUCACUGGUGUUUUCAAAGGGCCCUAUCCAUUUGGUAUUGACCCGAUUUGGAAUCUGGCAAGUAAUCGUCUCAGUUUUCUGAAUUCAUUUAAAAUGAAAAUGUCAGUGAUCCUGGGCAUUAUUCACAUGACCUUUGGAGUCAUUCUUGGAGUCUUUAAUCACUUGCACUUUAAGAAGAAAUUUAAUAUUUACCUGGUAUUUAUCCCUGAACUGCUCUUCAUGAUGUGUCUCUUUGGGUACCUUGUCUUUAUGAUUAUAUAUAAAUGGUUGGCAUAUUCUGCUGCAAACUCCGAUUUGGCUCCAAGCAUCUUGAUUCAUUUCAUUAAUAUGUUCGUCAUGCAGCAGAACCAAGAUGCGAAACUUUAUCCUGGACAGAAUGGAUGCCAAAUGUUCCUUGUUGUGAUUGCUGUACUAUCCAUUCCAGUUUUGCUGUUUGGAAAACCAGGAUAUCUCUACUGGAAGCAUCAUGGAGGAAGAAACUUUGGGAUGUACAGGAAGGGCUACACAUUGGUCCGAAGAGGAAGUGAAGAGGAGAUGUCACUGCUGAGAGCUCAUGAAAUGGAACAAGGAGAAAUGGAUUCAAAUCACAGCAGUCAGACAAAUGGAGCUGAACAGGAGUUCAAUUUUGGUGACAUUUUCAUGCACCAAGCUAUUCACACCAUUGAAUAUUGCCUGGGGUGUGUAUCUAACACUGCUUCAUACCUGAGACUCUGGGCCCUCAGCCUGGCUCAUGCUCAACUUUCGGAGGUCCUGUGGGGGAUGGUGCUGCACGUGGGUCUUCAUAUGGAUAGUGAUUAUGGUUCACUAUUAUUGUUCCCCGCCUUUGCCUUCUUUGCAGUUCUAACUGUAGCCAUUUUACUGGUCAUGGAGGGACUUUCAGCAUUCCUACAUGCACUCCGACUGCAUUGGGUGGAAUUUCAAAACAAGUUCUACACGGGCAGUGGAUACAAAUUUUCUCCAUUCUCUUUUGAGCUGCUUACUCAGAAUAUUAAUGACUUUGCCUAGAAAAUUGCUUUAUACAUCUGAGUUUGAUGAGUGUCGGUGGCAUGAUCAUGUGACACAGCUUCUCACGACAAACUUUUUGCACUGAAUGCCUUACCAAAUACAUAUGCUCCUUUCUCUACUAAAGAUCAAUCAUUGCUUUUAUUGCAACCUCAGGAUCAUAUUCGUCUGCUUUGAUAAUAAUUGCUCCAGUGGUUCAUUUUGACUUUUCGCUGAUGUUCAGCUGCUGGAAAGGGGAGACUUGUGACAUGGAGGAGGAGGAGAAGUGAGAGAGAAGCACAGGGACUUCAGCACACUGACUGCUGUCACCUUCCCUCCAUGAUGGACUCAUUGCCAUUUUGGAACUCAUUGUCCUGUGUUGUGGUACUUGCUACAAUGUGGCAGUGUAGUGAACUUGUUUAAUACUUUAAAAUAUCUAUACUGCUAAUGUGCUCAACCACUGUAAUCAAACCUCAAAAAUGCUUCAUUGGCAAAAAUUGGUGGGAGACUGCCAAUGGUUGCAAAAUGUAUGAUAUAAAUGCAAGUCUGUCUUUGUCUUUUAUACAGUUUAGCUGCUACUAGCAGCAAAGUUUACAGGGAGUUUAUUUAUGUAACAAAGAUAAUUUGAUGCAAUAUCAUUAAAUUUCAAAUAAAUGUAAAGCCUUUUCUAGUGCUUCUGGAAUGAAAUGCUGAAUUAGUUCAGUUACUUGUACUGUUUCUGUCAGGUUAUAAUGUGCUUGAAUUUCCUUAUUUGAUAUGAGCAGAGGUGGUUAUGUUGAUCAGGCUAACAGAUUGAAAAGGUAAUUUAUUGUAAAGAGAUUGUAAAACUCCCAGAUUCCUGCUACAGGUGCAAUUCUGAAAUCACUUUAGUUUUAUUGCAUGUAAAUAAUUAUUUUAUUAAUGUGGCUGUAUAAUUUGUAAAUGUCCCUGGUACAGUAGAAUUUAAUGAUUCAAGACUUCAUACUCCUGUAAAAUCUAUUAAAUUUAGCAAUUUUAAUAAAUAAACUAUAAAUAUUUCUACCAUUUAAUAUUUAAGAUAUUUUUCUCUUUAGCAAUUUUGCAUCCGUAACCUGAUCUAACAUUCACUGUCUGCAGAGAGACAUGGUUAAAAUUGCUGUUAAAAUAUUUUAUGUAUAUAAUAAAAUAAUGUUUCUGUUUAACCUUGGAGUACUGCUACCUGAAUGGGAUUUUAGUUUCGUACCAAAAAUAAAAAGUUUAUAUGUUCAGCA